RNAcentral lists this transfer RNA (71 nucleotides) under Rattus norvegicus (Norway rat). It matches the Rfam family "tRNA". From Rfam's summary of the family: Transfer RNA (tRNA) molecules are approximately 80 nucleotides in length. Their secondary structure includes four short double-helical elements and three loops (D, anti-codon, and T loops). Further hydrogen bonds mediate the characteristic L-shaped molecular structure. tRNAs have two regions of fundamental functional importance: the anti-codon, which is responsible for specific mRNA codon recognition, and the 3' end, to which the tRNAs corresponding amino acid is attached (by aminoacyl-tRNA synthetases). tRNAs cope with the degeneracy of the genetic code in two manners: having more than one tRNA (with a specific anti-codon) for a particular amino acid; and 'wobble' base-pairing, i.e. permitting non-standard base-pairing at the 3rd anti-codon position. The record is from Rfam by way of RNAcentral. Lineage: Eukaryota; Metazoa; Chordata; Mammalia; Rodentia; Muridae.
GGCAAGGUGGCUCAGUAGGUCAGAGUGCCUGCUUUGCAAGCCUGAGGUUCUGAGUUCAAUUCCCAGGGCCA